RNAcentral lists this long non-coding RNA (4108 nucleotides) under Setaria italica (foxtail millet). RNAcentral's name for it is "long non-coding RNA (SITA_LNC000531)". Lineage: Eukaryota; Viridiplantae; Streptophyta; Magnoliopsida; Poales; Poaceae. The record is from RNAcentral.
GAAAAAUGUCGAAAGAGCUGAGAUGGUACCAUGAGCAUGAAGCCGAUCCGCUCCACCGGCAUGACGGGCCAGUCUUCCAGCCUUGGGAUAUGGGUGAGCCCGAAAACAUACCUGUAGUUGUAGGGUGUAGUAUGGGAUUCAGAAACUAGACAAUCACAUGGAUAUUCAAUGUCAAUCAGCAGGUCCUCAUAACAUACCAAAGAACAAUGUUGGUUUCCUCCAGGGACCGAUCCUUCUUCACCCACGUAGCUAAGCCCUCGUCGAUGCGCGGAUUCUGGUUGGGGAACUCACCUCCAGGGAACAUCUCAUCGUUUUUGUAUGAUGUGACCCAAAGGUUAUGCUUCAAGAACCCAGCUCUUCUCAAGAAUUUGGCCUCGGGUAGGGCCAGUGGCAGACAAUUGGAACCAGGUAUGAGCUUGUAACCUGUGCGGUCGUCCAGUGCGGUUUACAUUUCUUGUGUUUCUUACCUGAUUAACCCAUAAUAAAGAACAAAAGAGUCAGUAUCACCAGAAUUUGAGACUCACAUCCACGUACGUUAUCUGUGCUUACAUUGGCGUGCAUUCUUUCUAUGAUUAAGGAAAAAGAAAUAAGAUAGAGAAAAGGGGAGAAAACAUCUAGCGUGCAUUCUUACAAUCCAAUGGCGCACAGAUGAGGGGUCACAAUCACGCAUUGCCUGCAGCUCAGUCUUCAAAAGCUUUUCUUCAGCAUAGAAAGCAUUGUUGUGCACAUUAUUUGGGCCUGCAUCUUCAACUUUAACGUUCACCUCAACCACCUGCAAUGGAAGAGAAGCAAUAGUAUCCAAAGUAGUUGGUAAAAUGAGGUGAAGGGGGGAAAAGGUAUUUUCUUUGUGAAGAUUAAAGUUCAAUUAAGCUUUAAGCAGCCAAGUUUCAUCUAUAAAUAGUGGACUGCUAAGACGUCGAUGAAAUAAUGUGAUAAUAAACAAAAAGGAAAAAAAAAAGGGUAUGGCCCAUUAUCAUGGAGGAAGUAGAUGACGGGUGUAAUUCAGAUUUGAGGAUUUCGAAAUGGAACUUUUGAUUAUCUCAUGAUUAAACCUAUGAGAGAGGGCUGACAAACAACCUACCUGAUUAUAAGGCUCAUUGGGUUUGCAAUCAACUGCCAUGUCCAUACGGGCAACAAAGAAAUGCUGAUGAACUGGUGCAUACAGACCAGGGGCAAUAGUUGUGCCAUAUUUCCUUUGUUCCCCAGGCAUUAGAGCUCCCAAGCUAAGAAUUCCAGUAAGCUUUAUCUCUGCUUCUAUCUUACCAUCCUACAACCAGAAAGAACGAAAAGGAUAAGUAUAUAGAUAAAUUAUGAUGCAAUGCACAACAAAAGUUGGACACAAGCUCCUUCAAUCAAAAAAAGUCAGAACUGAAUUACAUAACAGGUAACCAUAAAUACAGCAGGUGCUACCAGAAAAAAGGCAAGUUAACAUUUGUAUUCACCUGAUAAAAGUGCCAGUAAAAUCCAUACUCAUAGUUAGCAACUGUGCAUAUGAAUGAUACAGUAAGCCUCCUUGAUCGUCUUACUUCCGCCAACCCAGUUCUCCAGUCUUGGUGUUUCCAAAGUAUUCCAUGGUCCUCCUCAUGUAAACAAACACAAUUCUCAAUGGUCUCCACACCACCAGUAAAAUUUGUAAAAUGUGCAUCAAAGUACUUUAUAAAUCCCAAACAGUCACAUCCCUACAAAUCAAUAAUAGAAUAUAGUUAGACAAACAUACCAGGAGGCAUAUCAAGGCAUUGAGUGCAAGAUGCACAGUUCUGGAAAGCAUCUUGCCUAGUGCAAAAAGAAAAAAUAAUCUCAAAAGUUCCUAUGAGAAUUUGGUAAAGAUAGUUCCUAGAGCAAUUGAUAAAGCAGUGCAAUUUAAUUUUCAAACUUAAUUUAAGUGAGGACAAACCAAAAAAAGGCAGGAAUUCCUAGAAAAUGGCAAACUAAAUUGAUCAUAGUAUUUAUCCUAAUAGAGGUAUAAAGUUAAUCAUGAAAAUUCAAUGCUUCAGUCAAUAAAAAGUGUUUGAACAGUGGAACAAUGUUCAAACAUUACUUUAACCACUAACUUGUAUCGCAUUCUUUUCAUAAAACAUAAUGAAAUAUAAUAUUCUGAAAGUAUAUUUCAGAACUCCACUAAUAUUAUUUUGCAUAUAAUUGAUCUAGAUAUUCAUAAAGGCAUUGUUAGUCUUUAAGAUAAUUUGACUUAUUAUCUUAAAGACCCCAGGGACAAUAGGCGCUCCAUGAAGAAGAUCAAAAUAGGCGCGAUGUGGCUGCUUGCUUGAGCCUGCAGGAAGUGGUUCAUGCGACUCCCAUGGGGGAGACAAACUGCUAUGCCUGUAUUCAGAGCCUGCAACUGGUGCUUAUAUGUGUGCGAUCAGUGUGUUGCCUGGUACUGCAGGGUAGGUAGAGCGCUGAUCUGGUUAUCUCAAAACGUGUAAACGCUCAAACGGUGAAUUUGGUGCCUUGUUUUUAUAAAAUGGGGCAGGGCAAGAUGCCUUUUACUCUAAAAAAAGAUAAUUUUGACUUACAUGCAUUCUGAAAGGAGCAUGUUUUUGGCAAGAGUGAGUGCCUUCUAUAUGACACUGAGGUAUCAUGGAAAUGCAAGUUUACUCAAUACCUGACACUAAUCAAGAUUAUUUGCAUGAUUACACCUGGAAGUUUCUUUCAUAUUUGUACUAGAUAUGCCACCAAAAAUCAAAUGAAGACCACUUAUGCUACAGAGAAAACACCAAACCUUCUUAAGAGAGUGUGCAUUCUUUCCCAACCCAUCUUCUCCAGCAUCAAAUGCAUUUUUCCGAUAAUGUGGUUCAUUUGGAUCUCCAUAAGGAACAACCAUCUCAACAAAACUCAACCUGUGAGCAAUAGGUCGGCGUCCACGAUUCCCAUCAAUGUAUGCAACAGAAUGGAUAACCAAACCCUCUUUAGGGGUGAAGCCAAUACGGAAAUUCCACUGGCAAGAUACAUACAAAGAGUGAAUCUCAAGACCAGGUCUAAUUUAAUAUUGGGUCAACAAAUGCAUCAACACUAGCACGCACUUUUUACCUUUUGCCAUUCCACAAAAUAGCCAUUGAUACGGAAACUUGGGCCUUCAGGUUGAUUGAUAAUAAGAGGUUUCACAUCACUUCGAUCAACACCACCUCGUGUUUCACCAGGGGUGUAGUUCCUCAAAUGAUCUGGUGGGGGCAGAGGCACUAACUUCCGAUCUUCAAACUCUAUCACAACAUUGUUCUGCAUAUCAACAACAACAUGGAUUCCUUCAACAGGACGUGCAUAACCAUUCUCCAUAGGGCUAUCACUUUCCGUUCUACAAAAGAUCAGAGGUUUGCCAAUUCUUCGGUUGGGAGCAUCAGCAUCACUGUAGUAGCCUGCACACCUGGUUUUUUUUAGCAGCAAAGAUCAUGUUUUGGGUAAGAUUGCUACCAGGUCUGAACAAUAAUAUUUUGUAGUGCAUUCAAUUACAGAAAUUAUUUAUGUUUGGCUUACCAUGCAUCUACCAUGACAAGAUCCAUGUCAUCUAUGCCUCUUUUCUUCAUUGCUUCAAUAAAAGGGGGAUAACUUUUUACAGUAGCUUCACAUUCAGCAUAUUCCAUAGCGUCCUGCAAAACACACAAGCACUAUCAAAGUAAUGUCCUGCAAAAUACACAAGCAAUAUCCAACUAAGGCUAGCACUUGACUUAAUUAUUGGACGAGCAUGAGAUAAUAUUUCUUUGCGGCACAUUAGUAUUGACUUAAGACUAGCGUAUAAUUCCAUGCAAUUCAAGCAGGUAAUAAGGAUCAGUUUUCUAAUUGGCAAAUGCCACAGUUUACCAGCAAUAACUUAGAAGAGAUUAUCGGGUAAAUACAAAAACUCAAUGCAUAUCAUUACUAAAUAUUUUCAAUGUACAUGUUAAACAGUGCUAGAUGGACUCUAUGAUGGGGUAAAAUGGUCAACAGAAAAAAGACAGCAUAUGACCAAUUUAUAUAAACAUACCAUUGCAGGUUGAACAUCUGGAACAACUUCUGAUGAUAUGACCUUGCCUCUGUGAUGUCCACCCCGAGCAGCAGCAUGCACUUCAGAGAGUUCUACAACCCAAACACUAGUCUCGUUUGUUUGUUUGUUGUAGACAACAAGCCUGGCUCUCCU